Molecule: ribosomal RNA, 483 nt
Filed under: uncultured bacterium
Lineage: Bacteria
Description: partial 16S ribosomal RNA
Rfam family: Bacterial small subunit ribosomal RNA
Source: RNAcentral
AUUGAACGCUGGCGGCAGGCCUAACACAUGCAAGUCGAGCGGAUGAAGGGAGCUUGCUCCUGGAUUCAGCGGCGGACGGGUGAGUAAUGCCUAGGAAUCUGCCUGGUAGUGGGGGAUAACGUCCGGAAACGGGCGCUAAUACCGCAUACGUCCUGAGGGAGAAAGUGGGGGAUCUUCGGACCUCACGCUAUCAGAUGAGCCUAGGUCGGAUUAGCUAGUUGGUGGGGUAAAGGCCUACCAAGGCGACGAUCCGUAACUGGUCUGAGAGGAUGAUCAGUCACACGGGAACUGAGACACGGUCCAGACUCCUACGGGAGGCAGCAGUGGGGAAUAUUGGACAGUGGGCGAAAGCCUGAUCCAGCCAUGCCGCGUGUGUGAAGAAGGUCUUCGGAUUGUAAAGCACUUUAAGUUGGGAGGAAGGGCAGUAAGUUAAUACCUUGCUGUUUUGACGUUACCAACAGAAUAAGCACCGGCUAACUUCGU